GAUGAACGCUGCCCUUAAGCCUAAUACAUGCAAGUCGAGCGAACAGAUAAGGAGCUUGCUCCUUUGAAGUUAGCGGCGGACGGGUGAGUAACACGUGGGUAACCUACCUAUAAGACUGGGAUAACUUCGGGAAACCGGAGCUAAUACCGGAUAACAUUUAGAACCGCAUGGUUCUAAAGUGAAAGAUGGUUUUGCUAUCACUUAUAGAUGGACCCGCGCCGUAUUAGCUAGUUGGUAAGGUAACGGCUUACCAAGGCGACGAUACGUAGCCGACCUGAGAGGGUGAUCGGCCACACUGGAACUGAGACACGGUCCAGACUCCUACGGGAGGCAGCAGUAGGGAAUCUUCCGCAAUGGGCGAAAGCCUGACGGAGCACCGCCGCGUGAGUGAUGGAGGGUUUCGGCUCGUAAAACUCUGUUAUUAGGGAAGAACAAAUGUGUAAGUAACUGUGCACAUCUUGACGGUACCUAAUCAGAAAGCCACGGCUAACUUCCUUGCAGCAGCCGCGGUAAUACGUUAGGUGGCCAGCGUUUAUCCGGAAUUAUUGGGCGUAAAGCGCGCGUAGGCGGUUUCUUAGUCUGAUGUGAAAGCCCACGGCUCAACCGUGGAGGGUCAUUGGAAACUGGGAAACUUGAGUGCAGAAGAGGAAAGUGGAAUUCCAUGUGUAGCGGUGAAAUGCGCAGAGAUAUGGAGGAACACCAGUGGCGAAGGCGACUUUCUGGUCUGUAACUGACGCUGAUGUGCGAAAGCGUGGGGAUCAAACAGGAUUAGAUACCCUGGUAGUCCACGCCGUAAACGAUGAGUGCUAAGUGUUAGGGGGUUUCCGCCCCUUAGUGCUGCAGCUAACGCAUUAAGCACUCCGCCUGGGGAGUACGACCGCAAGGUUGAAACUCAAAGGAAUUGACGGGGACCCGCACAAGCGGUGGAGCAUGUGGUUUAAUUCGAAGCAACGCGAAGAACCUUACCAAAUCUUGACAUCCUUUGAAAACUCUAGAGAUAGAGCCUUCCCCUUCGGGGGACAAAGUGACAGGUGGUGCAUGGUUGUCGUCAGCUCGUGUCGUGAGAUGUUGGGUUAAGUCCCGCAACGAGCGCAACCCUUAAGCUUAGUUGCCAUCAUUAAGUUGGGCACUCUAGGUUGACUGCCGGUGACAAACCGGAGGAAGGUGGGGAUGACGUCAAAUCAUCAUGCCCCUUAUGAUUUGGGCUACACACGUGCUACAAUGGACAAUACAAAGGGCAGCUAAACCGCGAGGUCAUGCAAAUCCCAUAAAGUUGUUCUCAGUUCGGAUUGUAGUCUGCAACUCGACUACAUGAAGCUGGAAUCGCUAGUAAUCGUAGAUCAGCAUGCUACGGUGAAUACGUUCCCGGGUCU
This 1373-nucleotide ribosomal RNA is filed under the name uncultured bacterium. Its description in RNAcentral is "bacterial SSU rRNA". It matches the Rfam family "Bacterial small subunit ribosomal RNA", at positions 28 to 1381 of the family's 1533-position model. The record is from RNAcentral.